This 269-nucleotide ribosomal RNA is filed under the name uncultured bacterium. RNAcentral's name for it is "partial 16S ribosomal RNA". It matches the Rfam family "Bacterial small subunit ribosomal RNA", at positions 524 to 776 of the family's 1533-position model. The record is from RNAcentral.
UACGUAGGGUGCGAGCGUUAAUCGGAAUUACUGGGCGUAAAGCGUGCGCAGGCGGCGCGUUAGGACAGGUGUGAAAGCCCCGAGCUUAACUUGGGAAUUGCGCUUGUGACUGGCGUGCUGGAGUGUGGCAGAGGGAGGUGGAAUUCCACGUGUAGCAGUGAAAUGCGUAGAGAUGGAGAUGGACGGAAGCACCAGGAUGGCCGAAGGGCCAGCCCUCCUGGGGCCAAGCACUGACGCUCAUGCACGAAAAGCGUGGGGGAGCAAACAGG